This 349-nucleotide ribosomal RNA is filed under the name uncultured bacterium. RNAcentral describes it as "bacterial SSU rRNA". It matches the Rfam family "Bacterial small subunit ribosomal RNA", at positions 29 to 406 of the family's 1533-position model. The record is from RNAcentral.
AACGAACGCUGGCGGCAUGCCUAACACAUGCAAGUCGAACGAGACCUUCGGGUCUAGUGGCGCACGGGUGCGUAACGCGUGGGAACCUGCCUUUAGGUUCGGAAUAACUCAGAGAAAUUUGAGCUAAUACCGGAUAAUGUCUUCGGACCAAAGAUUUAUCGCCUUUAGAUGGGCCCGCGUUGGAUUAGCUAGUUGUGGGGGUAAAGGCCUACCAAGGCGACGAUCCAUAGCUGGUCUGAGAGGAUGAUCAGCCACACUGGGACUGAGACACGGCCCAGACUCCUACGGAGGCAGCAGUGGGGAAUAUUGGACAAAUGGGCGAAAGCCUGAUCAGCAAUGCCGCGUGAGU